Molecule: ribosomal RNA, 253 nt
Filed under: uncultured bacterium
Lineage: Bacteria
Description: partial 16S ribosomal RNA
Rfam family: Bacterial small subunit ribosomal RNA
Source: RNAcentral
UACAGAGGUCUCAAGCGUUGUUCGGAUUCAUUGGGCGUAAAGGGUGCGUAGGUGGCGAGGUAAGUCAGGUGUGAAAUCUCGGAGCUCAACUCCGAAACUGCACUUGAUACUGCUCCGCUCGAGUACUGGAGAGGAGAUUGGAAUUUACGGUGUAGCAGUGAAAUGCGUAGAUAUCGUAAGGAAGACCAGUGGCGAAGGCGAAUCUCUGGACAGUUACUGACACUGAGGCACGAAGGCCAGGGGAGCAAACGGG